UAGCUCAGUGGUAGAGCACUUACCUAGCAUAUAAGAAGCCUGAGUUCAAUCCCCAG
RNAcentral lists this transfer RNA (56 nucleotides) under Ictidomys tridecemlineatus (thirteen-lined ground squirrel). RNAcentral describes it as "Spermophilus tridecemlineatus (thirteen-lined ground squirrel) tRNA". It matches the Rfam family "tRNA", at positions 8 to 63 of the family's 71-position model. From Rfam's summary of the family: Transfer RNA (tRNA) molecules are approximately 80 nucleotides in length. Their secondary structure includes four short double-helical elements and three loops (D, anti-codon, and T loops). Further hydrogen bonds mediate the characteristic L-shaped molecular structure. tRNAs have two regions of fundamental functional importance: the anti-codon, which is responsible for specific mRNA codon recognition, and the 3' end, to which the tRNAs corresponding amino acid is attached (by aminoacyl-tRNA synthetases). tRNAs cope with the degeneracy of the genetic code in two manners: having more than one tRNA (with a specific anti-codon) for a particular amino acid; and 'wobble' base-pairing, i.e. permitting non-standard base-pairing at the 3rd anti-codon position. Lineage: Eukaryota; Metazoa; Chordata; Mammalia; Rodentia; Sciuridae. The record is from Rfam by way of RNAcentral.